GAUGAACGCUGACAGAAUGCUUAACACAUGCAAGUCUUUGGCGAAGCUGUGCUUGCACCGCCUAGCCAAGGCGGACGGGUGAGUAACGCGUAAGGAACUUGCCCUGCAGUCAGGGAUAACAGACGGAAACGACUGAUAAGACCUGGUAAAGUCAGGCGGACUCAUGUCCAGCCUGAUGAAAAGAGAUGCUGCAGGAGAGCCUUGCGUCCUAUUAGCUUGUUGGUGGGGUAACGGCCCACCAAGGCGAUGAUAGGUAGCCGGCCUGAGAGGGUGGACGGCCACAAGGGGACUGAGAUACGGCACUUACUCCUACGGGAGGCAGCAGUGGGGAAUAUUGGACAAUGGGGGCAACCCUGAUCCAGCAAUUCUGUGUGCACGAUGAAGGUUUUCGGAUUGUAAAGUGCUUUCAGCAGGGAAGAAAAAAAUGACGGUACCUGCAGAAGAAGCGACGGCUAAAUACGUG
Molecule: ribosomal RNA, 463 nt
Filed under: uncultured bacterium
Lineage: Bacteria
Description: partial 16S ribosomal RNA
Rfam family: Bacterial small subunit ribosomal RNA
Source: RNAcentral